GGAUUAGAUACCCUGGUAGUCCACGCCGUAAACGAUGAGCACUAGAUUUGGGGGAUGUUAGCGUUCUCCGUUCCGUAGCUAACGCAUUAAGUGCUCCGCCUGGGGAGUACGGUCGCAAGACUAAAACUCAAAGGAAUUGACGGGGGCCCGCACAAGCGGUGGAUUAUGUGGUUUAAUUCGAAGCAACGCGCAAAACCUUACCAGGGCUUGAAAUCCUACGAAGGCACCCGAAAAGGUGCUGUGCCCUUUGGGGAAUGUAGUGACAGGCGCUGCAUGGCUGUCGUCAGCUCGUGCUG
This 296-nucleotide ribosomal RNA is filed under the name uncultured bacterium. RNAcentral describes it as "partial 16S ribosomal RNA". It matches the Rfam family "Bacterial small subunit ribosomal RNA", at positions 775 to 1067 of the family's 1533-position model. The record is from RNAcentral.